Molecule: small nucleolar RNA, 91 nt
Organism: Beta vulgaris subsp. vulgaris (sugar beet)
Lineage: Eukaryota; Viridiplantae; Streptophyta; Magnoliopsida; Caryophyllales; Amaranthaceae
Rfam family: Small nucleolar RNA snoR27
Source: Rfam
AAUGGAUAAAUGAUGUGAUAUAAACUGCGUUAUCUAUCUGCAAAUUUCUCUCGAGGAAUUGAAGAAAAUAUUUAGUACACUGAUAUCCAAG